This 383-nucleotide ribosomal RNA is filed under the name uncultured bacterium. RNAcentral describes it as "bacterial SSU rRNA". It matches the Rfam family "Bacterial small subunit ribosomal RNA", at positions 32 to 410 of the family's 1533-position model. The record is from RNAcentral.
AAUCAACGCUGGCGGCGUGCCUAACACAUGCAAGUCGAGCGAGAAAGGGGAGCCAAUCCCUGAGUAAAGCGGCAGACGGGUGAGUAACACGUGAACAACCUACCCUUGAGUGGGAAUAACACCGCGAAAGCGGUGCUAAUACCGCAUAACAUCCUUGGGUCGCAUGGCCCGAGGAUCAAAAGCGAAAGUUGCUCGAGGAGGGUUCNCGGCUGAUUAGCUAGUUGGUGAGGAACGGCCCACCAAGGCUUCGAUCAGUAGCCGGCCUGAGAGGGCGAACGGCCGACACUGGAACUGGGACACGGUCCAGACUCCUACGGGAGGCAGCAGUGGGGAAUUUUGCGCAAUGGGCGAAAGCCUGACGCAGCCACGCCGCGUGAGUGACG